Xiphophorus maculatus (southern platyfish) is the source of this 1620-nucleotide long non-coding RNA. RefSeq lists it as uncharacterized. NCBI's taxonomy places the organism in Eukaryota, Metazoa, Chordata, Actinopteri, Cyprinodontiformes, Poeciliidae. The record is from RefSeq and is a predicted model, not a curated record. The transcript has 3 exons.
UCUGGGCCUCCCUUCUGAAGCUGCUACCCCGCGACCCGACCUCGGAUAAGCGGAGGAAGAUGGAUGGAUGGAUAUUAAUGCUUGUAAAGCUGCAACCAACCAGGAUAAAACGCGGGUCCUUUGGUCCGACUUCCUGCAUGUUCUAGAGCAGGGGUCAAACUCCAGGCCUCCAGUCGCUGACCUGCAGGUUUUAGAUGAGCCACAGGUGAAGCAGAGGCUCAUCUAAAGGUUGCAGGACUGGAGUUUGAGACCCUGAUCUAGAUCCUUCCUGAUACCAACAACCUUCUCAGCAGGUCAAAGUUCUCCUCUAAUGAUCAUCAUUGGGUCCAGGUGCAGGAUGCCGGGCCUCCAGAACCGACUUUGGGCUCCACUGAGAGAAAUCAGGACUUCUGAUCAGAGGAUUAUUUAUUGAUUAACUGAUCAAUAACUGGAUAUAAAUAUGCUCAAUGGCUUUUUACAGCCAUUGGUAAAAAGUGAAACUUUUUACCGUAACUAUAAAAUGUUUCUAUAUUUUGUACAGAUUUGGGUUCAUUUCUGUUCUUUUCCAGUCUGUGAUCCAGUUAACCAUCAAUCAAUCAAUUACUGAAUUAGUUGACAAUUAUUUCAAUAAUCAAUUCAUCUGAUUAAUCAUUUAAACACCUAAAUAUGUACCCAUGUGAAGAUGAAGGAAAUGGGAAAAUGUUUUUAACAGAAUAUAUUGUUUGAAAAAAUAAAGAUGAGAAAUUUGUAUUUGACAGAAUUUCAUAAAGAAAAGCAUCAAAUGAAACGUUUCCUGUGUUUUUAUUCCUCCAUCCACACAUAAAGGAAGCCGAGCCGUUUAAACUGAAAUAAAUAUUUAUUACUGUAAACUCUUUAUGCAGAAUCACAGCUGAACAGGAUCGACAUCAAGCUCAGGAACAACAAACACUGAAGUGCCAUUAAUGAGGUUUCUGUGAUUACAACGAGUCAUGUGACCACAGAACCAGCCAAUCACAGAGCGCCGUGAUCAUCUACAGAAAACUACAGACAGGAAAUAACUUCUUCUUCUACAGUAACAAACUGACAUCAGAUCAGCGGAUUCUAGAUUCGUUACAAAAACACAACGUCGCAGAGUGACAUCACAGUGACAUCAAAGAGUGACAUCAGAGUGACAUCAAAGAGUGACAUCACAGAGUGACAUCAGAGUGACAUCAAAGAGUGACAUCAGAGUGACAUCACAGUGACAUCAUAGAGUGACAUCACAGUGACAUCAAAGAGUGACAUCAGAGUGACAUCAAAGAGUGACAUCAGAGUGACAUCACAGUGACAUCAUAGAGUGACAUCACAGAGUGACAUCACAGAGUGACAUCACAGAGUGACAUCGCAGUGACAUCACGGUGACAUCACAGUGACAUCAAAGAGUGACAUCGCAGUGACAUCAUAGAGUGACAUCACAGAGUGACAUCACAGAGUGACAUCGCAGUGACAUCAUAGAGUGACAUCACAGAGUGACAUCGCAGUGACAUCAUAGAGUGACAUCACAGAGUGACAUCACAGAGUGACAUCGCAGUGACAUCACGGUGACAUCACAGUGACAUCAAAGAGUGACAUCGCAGUGACAUCAUAGAGUGACAUCACAGAGUGACAUCACAGUGACAUCAC